ACUUAAUUAGUAUAAAAAGUAUUAAAGACUUCCAAUCUUUAGGUCUAAUAUUUAGAUUAAGUA
This 63-nucleotide transfer RNA is filed under the name Leucolepas longa. RNAcentral describes it as "tRNA-Gly". The record is from RNAcentral. RNAcentral also lists the same sequence under 2 other names. Lineage: Eukaryota; Metazoa; Arthropoda; Thecostraca; Neolepadidae.